Molecule: ribosomal RNA, 468 nt
Filed under: Triticum aestivum (bread wheat)
Lineage: Eukaryota; Viridiplantae; Streptophyta; Magnoliopsida; Poales; Poaceae
Description: partial small subunit ribosomal RNA
Source: RNAcentral
AUGAAGCAUUUUAUAAAGCCAUACUCAAAAGAUAUAAGUGAAGUGCAUAGAGCAUUCUAUAAAUCAACCAAGGACUAUCUCAUACCAGCAUGGUGCAUAAAAGAAAAAUUAAAACUAAAUGCAAAAGACGCUCCAAGAUUGCACAUAUCGCAUGAACGAAACGAAUCCGAAAAGAUAUCGAUACUUGUUGAAGAAAGAGGGGAUGCCUUCCGGGGCAUCCCAAAGCUUAGACGCUUGAGUCUCCUUGAAUAUUUACUUGGGGUGCCUCGGGCAUCCCCAAGCUUGAGCUCUUGCCUCUCUUCCUUCUUCUCACAUCGAGACCUUCUCGAUCAUCGAACACUUCAUCCACACAAAACUUCAACAGCAAACUCGGUAAGAUCCGGUAGUAUAAUAAAGCAAAUCACUACUCUAAGUACUGUUGCAAACCAAUUCAUAUUUUGUUUUUGCAUUUUGUCUACUUUAAUAUAA